Molecule: transfer RNA, 77 nt
Filed under: Klebsiella pneumoniae
Lineage: Bacteria; Pseudomonadati; Pseudomonadota; Gammaproteobacteria; Enterobacterales; Enterobacteriaceae
Description: tRNA-Val
Rfam family: tRNA
About the family: Transfer RNA (tRNA) molecules are approximately 80 nucleotides in length. Their secondary structure includes four short double-helical elements and three loops (D, anti-codon, and T loops).
Source: RNAcentral
GCGUUUAUAGCUCAGUUGGUUAGAGCACCACCUUGACAUGGUGGGGGUCGUUGGUUCGAGUCCAAUUAAAUGCACCA